GUGUUUGCUUUGGCAGCACUUAUACUAAAACUGGAAUGAUCUGGGGAAGACUAGCCUGGUGCCUGGCAUGGAUGACACACAGAAUUGUGAGGCAUCCUGCGUUUUA
This is a small nuclear RNA of Cavia aperea (Brazilian guinea pig), 106 nucleotides long. The record is from Ensembl. NCBI's taxonomy places the organism in Eukaryota, Metazoa, Chordata, Mammalia, Rodentia, Caviidae.